AUUAAUGAGAGUUUGAUCCUGGCUCAGAACGAACGCUGGCGGCGUGCCUAACACAUGCAAGUCGAACGGGGUCCUGGGUGUAGCAAUACAUUCAUGAUUUAGAGGCGAACGGGUGAGUAACACGUAGGUAACCAACCUCAGGGCGGGGGACAACCCCGAGAAAUCGGGGCUAAUACCGCAU
Molecule: ribosomal RNA, 181 nt
Filed under: Thermodesulfovibrionales bacterium
Lineage: Bacteria; Pseudomonadati; Nitrospirota; Thermodesulfovibrionia; Thermodesulfovibrionales
Description: partial 16S ribosomal RNA
Rfam family: Bacterial small subunit ribosomal RNA
Source: RNAcentral